CCUACGGGUGGCAGCAGUGGGGAAUAUUGCACAAUGGGGGAAACCCUGAUGCAGCGACGCCGCGUGAGUGAAGAAGUAAUUCGUUAUGUAAAGCUCUAUCAGCAGGGAAGAAAAUGACGGUACCUGAGUAAGAAGCCCCGGCUAACUACGUGCCAGCAGCCGCGGUAAUACGUAGGGGGCAAGCGUUAUCCGGAUUUACUGGGUGUAAAGGGAGCGUAGACGGCAGUGCAAGUCUGGGGUGAAAGGCGGAGGCUCAACCCCCGGACUGCUCAGGAAACUGUACGGCUAGAGUGCAGGAGAGGUAAGUGGAAUUCCUAGUGUAGCGGUGAAAUGCGUAGAUAUUAGGAGGAACACCAGUGGCGAAGGCGGCUUACUGGACUGUAACUGACGUUGAGGCUCGAAAGCGUGGGGAGCAAACAGGAUUAGAUACCCGAGUAGUC
RNAcentral lists this ribosomal RNA (440 nucleotides) under uncultured bacterium. Its description in RNAcentral is "partial 16S ribosomal RNA". It matches the Rfam family "Bacterial small subunit ribosomal RNA", at positions 338 to 795 of the family's 1533-position model. The record is from RNAcentral.